CGUUUNAUAGNGGAUCUGCUCCAUGUUCAUAAAUAGCCGCAGAAUUUUUACUGUGCUAAGGUAGCAUAAUCAUUAGUCUUUUAAUUAAAGGCUAGAAUGAAUGAUCUAACGAUUUAAUUAUUUUUUUCCCCUCUUUUAUUAAAAUUAUACUAAAUAUAAAAAUAUAUUUAUAAUAAAAUUAGACGACAAGACCCUAUUGAACUUAACUAAAGUUAGGCUGGGGAAGCAAUUUAAUAAUCACUUUAAUUCCAAUUCCUCCAUAAACGACCCAAUAAUAUUGAUAACUUGAUCAAGUUACCAUAGGGAUAACAGCGUAAUAUUUUUAACAAGCUCACAUUUAUAAAAAAGAUUGCGACCUCGAUGUUGAAUUACUAUUACUCAUAGGCGCAAGCACUUAUGAAGUAGGUCUGUUCGACCUUUAAAUUAGCACAUGAUCUGAGUCAAAACCCGGAGA
Molecule: ribosomal RNA, 454 nt
Filed under: Comaroma maculosa
Lineage: Eukaryota; Metazoa; Arthropoda; Arachnida; Araneae; Anapidae
Description: partial 16S ribosomal RNA
Rfam family: Bacterial large subunit ribosomal RNA
Source: RNAcentral